Molecule: long non-coding RNA, 3114 nt
Organism: Lepidothrix coronata (blue-crowned manakin)
Lineage: Eukaryota; Metazoa; Chordata; Aves; Passeriformes; Pipridae
Exons: 2
Source: RefSeq, a predicted model, not a curated record
GCCCGGAACAGAUCCAAGCUCUCCACCGAUACUGCCCCGUUCUGAGACCCAUGGAUCUACAGCCAGUCACCACCAUCAGCCCCACCCCAGCUGGUGUGGAGCAGAGCCUGGUGACCUCCCAGUGCAUCGGGGAAAGCAUGCAGUGCUGCUCGGAGCAAGGCUCAGUGCAACUGGGAGCACCCUGGCUGCCUAACAACAUCUCAGAAAAUUGUUCGGCCGGCGGGGGGUUGGAUGGAGCCGACACAGGGGUGCCUUGAACACAAUUAAAGCUCAUUGCAAGCUGAUUCUGGAACAAAAAGGUAGUGAAAAGAUUUUAAAAAAAUUAAGAAGAGAGGGAAAACAAAACAGAAAACAAGCAAAACAAAAGCAAAAAUGUUGGUUGUAUUAUCAGGAGAUCCCAGUAUUUAUAUCACAGACUUCCUAAAGAGAUGACUCAGGCGUCAGAGUUUGAUGCUGCAGUAUAAAACUAUUAUUUUAUAUAUUUUACAAGUAAUUUAUUAAAUAUCUUUCUAAGGGUAUAUGCUGCUUUUAAGAUGCACUAUAUUUUUGGAUCUAAUCCUUGUACUAUUUUUUUUCCCAAGGAAGUAAAAUGUGCUGCAAAGGCAAGCCACAGUGAUUAGUAUGCUAACUGCUAUUUCUCUUUAAAAAGGAGAGUGGGAACUAGAUAUGUAACUUUGCUAAGUGGAUUAACUCCUGCCAGAGAAAUUAUUAAUGAUGAUAGUGUGGUUGUUAAUCUGGAGUGCGACACUUUGUCAAGUCUGUAUUCUAAAAGAGUGCUUCAAUAGAAGUUAAAAUGCCUAGAUAUAUAGCUAAUUUUUUUAAUAUGCGACUUUAUGAUUGCCUAGUAAAUAAUACAGAUCUGCAUGCUGGAAUCACUAUAAUCCUGUAAUAAAAUGAGAACUGAUCCACUAGAAGAAAGCAUGGUGAAGCAUUGCAAUUCCAGAAUCAACACCACAUCCUCACUUGUGUCUUGUAACACUGCUGUGGUAGUGAAGAGAGAGCAAGGGGUGCAUUUUAAGAAUAGAAGGCCCGUAGUGAAUUUUGCAGUGAGACAAAGUGAACAUUUGCCAGGUUUCCACAGGCUCACAUUUUUUUCCACUUCACAUCCUCUACCUUUGCAACAAGGAGUGCUGCUUCCACCUUUUUUUUUCUAAUCUGAGAUGUGUUUGAAGGUGCCUCCAGGUGAAUGUUGUAGCCCAUGGCUACAGCAUUUUAAAAGUCUCUAUUUUAGGGCUGCCUAGAGAAGGUUUAGCUCAGUGUGAGCAGCAACUUUGCAUAAGGAGGGGAUCUGCUAAGUAUAGAGCAGUUUUAUUUUUAUCGGAAGUGAGGUGAAACUAAAACUAUUAACAUAAAGAACUUCUGCUCUCUUUUCUGUUAGAAAUUCUCACAACAGAUUUUGACUUCGUUUCAGUUUCGUCUCUGCCAACACAGUCCAGGUUAAUUUUGCAUCCAUAUAUAAAAUAUGUGUAUGUAUGUAUACAUACAUCUAUAAUUCUAGUCAGAGUGUGUGUUUGUGUAUUUUCCUGUUUAUAAUACAUAUAUGUAUAUUUAUAAUACUCCUUGGAGUAUUUCAUGACUCAGGCAUCAGGUCUGAUGCUGUAGAAUACAAUAUAUGUGUAUAUGCAUAUGUUCAAAUACUGUGUGUAUAUUUAAAAGAUCUAUUGUUGGUGGUCUGUAGAAUAAUUAUUUCCUUUACUCUCAAAAUUUUAAUGGCAUUACUUGCAAAGACUAAGUGUACAGUAUUUUCCUACACUCCACCAAGAUAGGUAUUAUUUAUAUCAAAGUCAAAUAUUGAUAUGCAUUUUAAGGUAUUACUCAGAUAAUGUUGCCAUUUUUGCAAAGAAAAUUGCUCUUUGGCAGGAAGGAAUGCUAAAAAUAUCUUUUUACAAGGUCAUUACCCCCAACAAACAACUGCUAAAAAGCCAGUUAGAUGACUCUUGUUCUUGUAUGAACUUUAGUGACCAUGGGCAGAGCCCUUUCUGUAGGUGAAAGUCACAGUGUGGUUCAUGCAGUGCCACUGUUGAUCCCUUUUGGCUAAUUAAGGGCAUGCAGAAAGAAACUAGUAUCCCAAAAUAGAAAUGGCAACUGGCAGUGUUUGAUUUCAUUGAUUGCUUAGAAGCAGAGAUGGUCCCAGGCUAUGAACCCAAACGACCCCCAUGUUUUGGAGGGAUCCAAGUGGGGCCUGCAUUUGCCAGCUGGGCUCAUCCCUGCAGCCGGAGGAGCCCACGCUCUGGGAUGUGGGCAGAGGAGGGAGCAGCUACCCUGUGCUGGGGGUUGUGACUGGCUUCCCCUGCCCAGGCCAGCAUUACCCUGCAUUUGUGAUGUACCCAGGAGAAACCUGCAUGGUUUCAGUCCUGCUCUUACUACUCCACUUGCUCUGCCUGAAGCUCUCUGGAUCCCUCAAACCAGCAGGAAUGAUACUAAACACUUUGGUGAUAUUUGAUGCAUGGUUGUUUACUCAUAGUUCCAAGCAUCACCUUUGAUUUCAAGGGUGGGGAUGCCCUAAAAGUUUGUUCCAGAACCAGUUGGUUACAAGUGCACCUCUUAUAUAUGCCUUACAAACUUCAGAGGCCAUAUUCAAAACAGGGUUUUAUCAGUGUAUGCAAGGGGGUGCAACCCCUCUUCUCUUCCUCCCCAGGUCAAACAGUAUGGACAGUUUUCACACAUAUCUACCUGUAUAACCCUCUGUACCUCUCAUAACUGGUCAAUGACUGUAACAGGUUACAUCAGGUGUUUUUUCUACAUACUUUUUACACAAAUUCUAUGCGAUUAAUGUAACUUAAUUCAAUGCAUCAUUUUAUUGUACUAGUUCUUAAGCUUGUCUUUAUUUUUUUUCUAGGUGACUGUGGUUUCUUGUGAUUUUUAUUGUAUAAAUAAAUGAGGUGGCUGUUGAUGCUUACUCUCUGUUACUAAGAAUUUUUACCUUUUUGGAAGAAAGCAUUGCUAUGAACUAAUGAAUUUAAAAUGUCAUUUACUCAUUGUAAAUACAGUAUUGUGCAAAAAAAAUUAAACCACCCAACCCUUUUCAUUCAUUUGAAUUGCUAGUGUUAACUGAAUUUUGUCUAGACACCAUUUCUGUUGAUGAAAUAAAGACAUAUCAUUAUGUAUUGUAAA